UCACACAGCAGUGUUGGAGGCAGGAUCUGAGCCCUGUUCUUGCUGAAAUAAAAGUUCAUGGUCAGUCAGCAUCACUUCAUGCUGGAUCAACAGGGCUUAUAGAAGACCACAGUCUCCCAGCAAAAUGUUGCCCACAGCACAGGCUGAGGAAUGGACAGACUGGUGGGCAAGGUACAACGGACGAACUCAGCAGGAGCGUUGGAGACAACACAGCAAGAAGGCAGCAGUCUGCACACCAGGAGGAGAGUCCUCACCAGAACCCGGCUCUGCCACACCCUGAUCCUGGACUUUCAGCCUCCAGAGCUGUGAGAAA
Long non-coding RNA from Chlorocebus sabaeus (green monkey), 313 nucleotides. RefSeq lists it as uncharacterized. NCBI's taxonomy places the organism in Eukaryota, Metazoa, Chordata, Mammalia, Primates, Cercopithecidae. The record is from RefSeq and is a predicted model, not a curated record.